This 438-nucleotide ribosomal RNA is filed under the name uncultured bacterium. RNAcentral describes it as "partial 16S ribosomal RNA". It matches the Rfam family "Bacterial small subunit ribosomal RNA", at positions 339 to 795 of the family's 1533-position model. The record is from RNAcentral.
CUACGGGAUGCUGCAGUGAGGAAUCUUCCACAAUGGGCGAAAGCCUGAUGGAGCGACACCGCGUGAAGGAUGAAGGUCUAACGAUUGUAAACUUCUUUUCUGAAGGAGCAUAAUGAGAGUACUUCAGGAAUAAGGGGGGGCUAAUUACGUGCCAGCAGCCGCGGUAAUACGUAAUCCCCAAGCGCUACCCGGAAUUACUGGGUGUAAAGGGUUCGUAGGCGGACAAAUAAGUCAGGUAUGAAAGACCGAGGCUCAACCUCGUGUUUGUGCUUGAAACUGUUUGUCUAGAAUCAGGGAGGGUAAGCGGAAUUCUAAGUGUAGGGGUGCAAUCCGUAGAUACUUAGAGGAACACCAAAAGCGAAGGCAGCUUACUGGAACUGUAUUGACGCUGAGGGACGAAAGCGUGGGGAGCGAAAAGGAUUAGAUACCCCUGUAGUC